GCCCCUAUAGCUCAGCCGGUAGAGCGCCUGAUUUGUAAUCAGAAGGUCGGGAGUUCAAGUCUCUCUGGGGGCACCA
This 76-nucleotide transfer RNA is filed under the name Paracoccaceae bacterium. RNAcentral's name for it is "Rhodobacteraceae bacterium tRNA-Thr". It matches the Rfam family "tRNA". From Rfam's summary of the family: Transfer RNA (tRNA) molecules are approximately 80 nucleotides in length. Their secondary structure includes four short double-helical elements and three loops (D, anti-codon, and T loops). The record is from RNAcentral. Lineage: Bacteria; Pseudomonadati; Pseudomonadota; Alphaproteobacteria; Rhodobacterales; Paracoccaceae.